Molecule: long non-coding RNA, 248 nt
Filed under: Lathyrus oleraceus (garden pea)
Lineage: Eukaryota; Viridiplantae; Streptophyta; Magnoliopsida; Fabales; Fabaceae
Description: Pisum sativum (pea) long non-coding RNA (PSAT_LNC024880)
Source: RNAcentral
AAGAAUCCGUCUGGUACGGUGAAAAUCGGCCUGAGUACCGAAACAGAAAGUUGACCUGGAUACCAAAAUAAAUGGUAACACAGGAAUACCCAUGGCCUGAAUGCCGCACAUUAGUCUGAACACUAAGCAUCGGAAAAUGAGAGUAUCAAUGUUGGUCUGAUCACCGGAAAUCUGGUCUGAACACCCCUUCGAUCUGGAAAUCGGAAAACUGGCCUGAAUGCCACAAGUUGCAUCGACCUGAAUGUCGG